GUGCCAGCCGCCGCGGUAAUACAGAGGGUGCGAGCGUUGUCCGGAAUUACUGGGCGUAAAGGGCGCGUAGGCGGCCCGAUAAGUAGGGGGUGAAAUUCCGUGGCUUAACCACGGAACUGCCUUCUAGACUGUCAGGCUUGAGCACGGUAGAGGCAGAUGGAAUUCCCGGUGUAGCGGUGGAAUGCGUAGAGAUCGGGAAGAACACCAGUGGCGAAGGCGGUCUGCUGGGCCGUUGCUGACGCUGAGGCGCGAUAGCGUGGGGAGCAAACAGGAUUAGAAACCCGUGUAGUCC
Molecule: ribosomal RNA, 292 nt
Filed under: uncultured bacterium
Lineage: Bacteria
Description: partial 16S ribosomal RNA
Rfam family: Bacterial small subunit ribosomal RNA
Source: RNAcentral